RNAcentral lists this long non-coding RNA (727 nucleotides) under Marmota monax (woodchuck). The record is from RNAcentral. Lineage: Eukaryota; Metazoa; Chordata; Mammalia; Rodentia; Sciuridae.
GGAGGAGAGAGGCUAGAGAGGCUUCAGAGCGGCCCAGGACUGGCUUGCUUCUGGCUUCUAGGGACACCCUAGUGGUGGGAGGAUCGGUCCCACCCUACGUUAUCCUCCCAAACUUAAGCCUCUAGUGCUGGGGUCACCCCCCUCCAGUGAGGGACCUGGAGGACGCUGGAGGGGAGGUCGAGGAACGAACUUUGCAUGCUAAAAAAAUGUCCUCAUCUUUGGUUCUAGAAUCCCUAAUCUCCUAGCAACGGGGCUGUAGAAUCUUCACAGACAUUAAGGUUUUUAUAGCAACGGGUUGCGGCGCCUCCCGGGCUCCCCCUCUUUCCACUUUCCCCUUCCCAUCUCCUCCCCUUCCCCCUUGAUCCAUAAUAGGGGCCCCCUUAGACCUCUCCGUCUCCCCCUCCUGCUGAAUACCCCAAGAUUUCAACCUAUCUGCCAGGUCUGGGGCGGCGAGUAGGCUGCCUUGGCUUGGGAAGGGCCUUGGGAGGAAAGAUGGAGGAAGAGGCUGUCUGGGCUUGUAGUUUUGUGAGAGUCAUCUCCCCCCAAAAAAGCUUAGGGCUGAGAUUACAUAUAUACCUAUACCCUCUCCCACCCAGAGAGAGAGGAGAAAAUUGAGACCGUGGUAUGUUUCUUCCAAGAGCAUUGAUUAAACCUUGGCUCUGGGAAUGGAGGUCGGCUGAGUUCUUGGGAAAGCAGGCUGGCUUCUCAGCCUAACACAGGCUUUGAC